UACGGCUCAGUAACACGUGGAUAACCUGCCCUAAGGAAGGGGAUACCCUCGGGAAACUGAGGAUAAUACCCUAUAGGUUACCGAUGCUGGAAUGCUCGGUAACUCAAAGUUCCGGCGCCUUAGGAUGGAUCUGCGGCCGAUUAGGUAGUUGUUGGGGUAACGGCCCAACAAGCCCGUAAUCGGUACGGGUUGUGGGAGCAAGAGCCCGGAGUUGGAUUCUGAGACACGAAUCCAGGCCCUACGGGGCGCAGCAGGCGCGAAAACUUUACAAUGCGGGCAACCGUGAUAAGGGAACCUCGAGUGCCUGUACAUGCAGGCUGUCUGGGUGUCUAAAACACACCCAAARAAAGGGCCGGGCAAGACCGGUGCCAGCCGCCGCGGUAAUACCGGCGGCUCGAGUGGUGGCCACUUUUAUUGGGCUUAAAGCGUUCGUAGCUGGGUUGUUAAGUCUCUUGGGAAAUCCGGCGGCUUAACCGUCGGGCGUCUAAGAGAUACUGGCAAUCUUGGAACCGGGAGAGGUGAGGGGUACUUCGGGGGUAGGAGUGAAAUCCUGUAAUCCUCGAGGGACCACCUGUGGCGAAGGCGCCUCACCAGAACGGCUUCGACAGUGAGGGACGAAAGCUGGGGGAGCAAACCGGAUUAGAUACCCGGGUAGUCCCAGCCGUAAACGAUGUGCGUUUGGCUUUUYACGACCACGAGUCGUCGAGGUGCCGAAGGGAAACCGUGAAACGUACCGCCKGGAAG
RNAcentral lists this ribosomal RNA (744 nucleotides) under uncultured Methanoculleus sp. Its description in RNAcentral is "bacterial SSU rRNA". It matches the Rfam family "Archaeal small subunit ribosomal RNA", at positions 84 to 835 of the family's 1478-position model. The record is from RNAcentral. Lineage: Archaea; Methanobacteriati; Methanobacteriota; Methanomicrobia; Methanomicrobiales; Methanomicrobiaceae.